RNAcentral lists this ribosomal RNA (382 nucleotides) under Clostridium perfringens. RNAcentral's name for it is "bacterial SSU rRNA". It matches the Rfam family "Bacterial small subunit ribosomal RNA", at positions 17 to 396 of the family's 1533-position model. Lineage: Bacteria; Bacillati; Bacillota; Clostridia; Eubacteriales; Clostridiaceae. The record is from RNAcentral.
AUUAGGCUCAGGAUAACGCUGGCGGCGUGCUUAACACAUGCAAGUCGAGCGAUGAAGUUUCCUUCGGGAAACGGAUUAGCGGCGGACGGGUGAGUAACACGUGGGUAACCUGCCUCAUAGAGUGGAAUAGCCUUCCGAAAGGAAGAUUAAUACCGCAUAAUGUUGAAAGAUGGCAUCAUCAUUCAACCAAAGGAGCAAUCCGCUAUGAGAUGGACCCGCGGCGCAUUAGCUAGUUGGUGGGGUAACGGCCUACCAAGGCGACGAUGCGUAGCCGACCUGAGAGGGUGAUCGGCCACAUUGGGACUGAGACACGGCCCAGACUCCUACGGGAGGCAGCAGUGGGGAAUAUUGCACAAAUGGGGGAAACCCUGAUGCAGCAACG